RNAcentral lists this ribosomal RNA (1372 nucleotides) under uncultured bacterium. RNAcentral's name for it is "bacterial SSU rRNA". It matches the Rfam family "Bacterial small subunit ribosomal RNA", at positions 28 to 1381 of the family's 1533-position model. The record is from RNAcentral.
GAUGAACGCUGGCGGCGUGCCUAAUACAUGCAAGUCGAGCGAACGGACGAGAAGCUUGCUUCUCUGAUGUUAGCGGCGGACGGGUGAGUAACACGUGGAUAACCUACCUAUAAGACUGGGAUAACUUCGGGAAACCGGAGCUAAUACCGGAUAAUAUUUUGAACCGCAUGGUUCAAAAGUGAAAGACGGUCUUGCUGUCACUUAUAGAUGGAUCCGCGCUGCAUUAGCUAGUUGGUAAGGUAACGGCUUACCAAGGCAACGAUGCAUAGCCGACCUGAGAGGGUGAUCGGCCACACUGGAACUGAGACACGGUCCAGACUCCUACGGGAGGCAGCAGUAGGGAAUCUUCCGCAAUGGGCGAAAGCCUGACGGAGCAACGCCGCGUGAGUGAUGAAGGUCUUCGGAUCGUAAAACUCUGUUAUUAGGGAAGAACAUAUGUGUAAGUAACUGUGCACAUCUUGACGGUACCUAAUCAGAAAGCCACGGCUAACUACGUGCCAGCAGCCGCGGUAAUACGUAGGUGGCAAGCGUUAUCCCGGAAUAUUGGGCGUAAAGCGCGCGUAGGCGGUUCUUUAAGUCUGAUGUGAAAGCCCACGGCUCAUCCGUGGAGGGUCAUUGGAAACUGGAAAACUUGAGUGCAGAAGAGGAAAGUGGAAUUCCAUGUGUAGCGGUGAAAUGCGCAGAGAUAUGGAGGAACACCAGUGGCGAAGGCGACUUUCUGGUCUGUAACUGACGCUGAUGUGCGAAAGCGUGGGGAUCAAACAGGAUUAGAUACCCUGGUAGUCCACGCCGUAAACGAUGAGUGCUAAGUGUUAGGGGGUUUCCGCCCCUUAGUGCUGCAGCUAACGCAUUAAGCACUCCGCCUGGGGAGUACGACCGCAAGGUUGAAACUCAAAGGAAUUGACGGGGACCCGCACAAGCGGUGGAGCAUGUGGUUUAAUUCGAAGCAACGCGAAGAACCUUACCAAAUCUUGACAUCCUUUGACAACUCUAGAGAUAGAGCCUUCCCCUUCGGGGGACAAAGUGACAGGUGGUGCAUGGUUGUCGUCAGCUCGUGUCGUGAGAUGUUGGGUUAAGUCCCGCAACGAGCGCAACCCUUAAGCUUAGUUGCCAUCAUUAAGUUGGGCACUCUAAGUUGACUGCCGGUGACAAACCGGAGGAAGGUGGGGAUGACGUCAAAUCAUCAUGCCCCUUAUGAUUUGGGCUACACACGUGCUACAAUGGACAAUACAAAGGGCAGCGAAACCGCGAGGUCAAGCAAAUCCCAUAAAGUUGUUCUCAGUUCGGAUUGUAGUCUGCAACUCGACUACAUGAAGCUGGAAUCGCUAGUAAUCGUAGAUCAGCAUGCUACGGUGAAUACGUUCCCGGGUCU